RNAcentral lists this ribosomal RNA (169 nucleotides) under Croton punctatus. RNAcentral's name for it is "5.8S ribosomal RNA". It matches the Rfam family "5.8S ribosomal RNA". Rfam says of the family: 5.8S ribosomal RNA (5.8S rRNA) is a component of the large subunit of the eukaryotic ribosome. It is transcribed by RNA polymerase I as part of the 45S precursor that also contains 18S and 28S rRNA. Lineage: Eukaryota; Viridiplantae; Streptophyta; Magnoliopsida; Malpighiales; Euphorbiaceae. The record is from RNAcentral.
AAAACGACUCUCGGCAACGGAUAUCUCGGCUCUCGCAUCGAUGAAGAACGCAGCGAAAUGCGAUACUUGGUGUGAAUUGCAGAAUCCCGUGAACCAUCGAGUUUUUGAACGCAAGUUGCGCCCAAAGCCUUUUGGCCGAGGGCACGUCUGCCUGGGUGUCACGCAACAU